AUUGAACGCUGGCGGCAGGCCUAACACAUGCAAGUCGAACGAGUGGGGGGCGGGUGGGUCAUGUCUGGGACACUGCCCGAUGGAGGGGGAUAACUACGGGAAACAGUAACUAAUACCGCAUACCUUCGGCUAGGCCCAGAUGGCAGGAGCUAGUAGGUGGGGUAACGGAUAACCAAGGAGACGAUCCCUAGCGGGUCUGAGAGGAUGACCAGCCACACGGGAACUGAGACACGGUCCAGACUCCUACGGGAGGCAGCAGUGGGGAAUAUUGCACAAUGGGCGCAAGCCUGAUGCAGCCAUGCCGCGUGUAUGAAGAAGGCCUUCGGGUUGUAAAGUACUUUCAGCGAGGAGGCGUUACCCGCAGAAGAAGCACCGGCUAACUCCGUGCCAGCCGCCGCGGUAAUAC
This 406-nucleotide ribosomal RNA is filed under the name uncultured bacterium. RNAcentral describes it as "partial 16S ribosomal RNA". It matches the Rfam family "Bacterial small subunit ribosomal RNA", at positions 29 to 526 of the family's 1533-position model. The record is from RNAcentral.